UGAAUACGAGAUGCUACGGCGUCGAAGCAGUGUUUGUCAGACUUCCAAGAAAAGCUCGCAAUGUCAUAAAUAAAGAAUGCCUGUACCAUAACCGACACAGGUGGGUAGGUAGAGUAUACUAAGGGGCGCGAGAUAACUCUCUCUAAGGAACUCGGCAAAAUAACUCCGUAACUUCGGGAGAAGGAGUGCCUUCUUUAAGAAGGUUGCAAUAACAAGAUCCAAGCAACUGUUUAUCAAAAACACAGGUCUCCGCUAAGUCGUAAGACGAUGUAUGGGGGCUGACGCCUGCCCAGUGCCAGAAGGUUAAAGAAGUUGGUUAGCUUUUGCGAAGCUGAUGACUGAAGCCCUGGUGAACGGCGGCCGUAACAAUAACGGUCCUAAGGUAGCGAAAUUCCUUGUCGGGUAAGUUCCGACCCGCACGAAAGGCGUAAUGAUUUGGAUACUGUCUCGGAGAGGGACUCGGUGAAAUAGACUUGUCUGUGAAGAUGCGGACUACCUGCACCAGGACAGAAAGACCCUAUGAAGCUUUACUGUAACUUGAAAUUGAAAUUGGACUUUAUUUGCGCAGUAUAGGUGGAAGGCGUUGAAAGUAAUCUUGCGGGAUUAGUGGAGCCAUCAGUGAGAUACCACUCCUAUAAUGUUAGAUUCCUAACUUUGGAUCAUGAUCUGGUCAAAGAACAGUUUCAGGCGGGCAGUUUGACUGGGGCGGUCGCCUCCCAAAUGGUAACGGAGGCGUACAAAGGUUUCCUCUGAACGGGUAGAAAUCGUAUCUAGAGUGUAAAGGCAUAAGGAAGCUUGACUGUGAGACCUACAAGUCGAGCAGGGACGAAAGUCGGUCUUAGUGAUCUGACGGUGCUGAGUGGAAAGGCCGUCACUCAACGGAUAAAAGUUACUCUAAGGAUAACAGGCUGAUCUCCCCCAAGAGUUCACAUCGACGGGGAGGUUUGGCACCUCGAUGUCGGCUCAUCGCAUCCUGGGGCGGUAGUACGUCCCAAGGGUUGGGCUGUUCGCCCAUGAAAGCGGUACGCGAGCUGGGUUCAGAACGUCGUGAGACAGUUCGGUCCAUAUCCGGUGUAGGCGUUAGAAUAUUGAGAGGAGCCUUCUUUAGUACGAGAGGACCGAGAAGGACAUACCUCUGGUGUACCAGUUAUCGUGCCAACGGUAAACGCUGGGUAGCUAUGUAUGGAGAGGAUAACCGCUGAAAGCAUCUAAGUGGGAAGCCCACCUCAAGAUGAGUAUUCUCAG
This 1245-nucleotide ribosomal RNA is filed under the name metagenome. Its description in RNAcentral is "bacterial LSU rRNA". It matches the Rfam family "Bacterial large subunit ribosomal RNA", at positions 1564 to 2817 of the family's 2925-position model. The record is from RNAcentral.